Antechinus flavipes (yellow-footed antechinus) is the source of this 627-nucleotide long non-coding RNA. RefSeq lists it as uncharacterized. Lineage: Eukaryota; Metazoa; Chordata; Mammalia; Dasyuromorphia; Dasyuridae. The record is from RefSeq and is a predicted model, not a curated record. The transcript has 2 exons.
GUCUCAUAUAGAAGUAGAUUGAAAUUUUCCAUAUUAUACAACAAAAAGAGGUUAUGCAUCAGGAGUUCGAUGCUAUCCAUCUCUAUAAAGGGAAAGGGAAUAGAUUGUCCUGUGACAAUCACAGAGAGGCUCUGUCUUAGUCAUUUCUGGCAAAAUUCUUGCCAAAGUCUUCAAAUUAAUAGGCUGACUCUACACCUGAGAAGGUCAUCUACCCGAGAACCAGUGUAGCUGCAGAAGAGACCGAGAGAAGCAGUGAAUGCAGCAUUUACUGCCCACUGACUCCAGGAGAAAAGCCAGGGCCAGGACAGAGGCCGUAUUAUCAUCUGGAGUUCUGACCAAAGCCUUUGAGACUGUCAAUCGUGAGGGCUUAUGGGAAAAAUGUUAGAAUUUGGGAGCCCAGAGAAGUUCAACUUCGUGCUUGCUCGGUUCUAGACAAUGGACAGUGUCUGAAGUGUUCCCAAUCACCAAUGGAGCGACUGUGCUUGCUCCCGUGCUUUUUUUUUUAGCAUGAUGACAUAUGUUCAGAUUCUUGCUGUUCUUGAAGAGGACCAUGACAUCAGGGAAGUGAUGCCAUUCCUUGCAAGUGAUUUGGAUUUCAGAGGUUAUUAAAUGUUGCUUUUCCCCAAA